RNAcentral lists this ribosomal RNA (492 nucleotides) under uncultured bacterium. RNAcentral describes it as "partial 16S ribosomal RNA". It matches the Rfam family "Bacterial small subunit ribosomal RNA", at positions 29 to 507 of the family's 1533-position model. The record is from RNAcentral.
AGUGAACGCUGGCGGUAGGCCUAACACAUGCAAGUCGAACGGCAGCACAGUAAGAGCUUGCUCUUACGGGUGGCGAGUGGCGGACGGGUGAGGAAUACAUCGGAAUCUACUUUUUCGUGGGGGAUAACGUAGGGAAACUUACGCUAAUACCGCAUACGACCUACGGGUGAAAGCAGGGGAUCUUCGGACCUUGCGCGAUUGAAUGAGCCGAUGUCGGAUUAGCUAGUUGGCGGGGUAAAGGCCCACCAAGGCGACGAUCCGUAGCUGGUCUGAGAGGAUGAUCAGCCACACUGGAACUGAGACACGGUCCAGACUCCUACAGGAGGCAGCAGUGGGAAAUAUUGAACAAUGGGCGCAAGCCUGAUCCAGCCAUACCGCGUGGGUGAAGAAGGCCUUCGGGUUGUAAAGCCCUUUUGUUGGGAAAGAAAAGCAGCAGGUUAAUACCCCGCUGUUCUGACGGUACCCAAAGAAUAAGCACCGGCUAACUUCGUG